GAGGCACGUUGGGAAACUCCACUUCACCCUCCAGGUCUACUCAGAACGCUAGGAGACGAAUCGCGGGGUCUCACCAUUCCUAGGCUGCCAGCUCCAACAAUUUCUCCGCGGCGACGACAGGAGCCGCAGGGCCAAAGCCGGCUUCCGUGAGACACAUCUACUUCCGGGUUGCGAACGAAGGGUUGGAGGAUCUUUUCCGGUUCGUCCUGGACGCAUUUUUGACCACUUGAUACAAGGGAGAGUUAUUUGGGAAGAAGCUCAACGGAGAAAAUGCCUCCAUCAGAGUGGCCUGUGGGCAGUUUCUGCCUCCAGGCUCCUGCUUUGAGUUCCUGCCCGACUUCCCCUGAGAAUGGACCUGCAAUCCAAAUAAAUUAUCCACCCUGA
RNAcentral lists this long non-coding RNA (384 nucleotides) under Mus pahari (shrew mouse). RNAcentral's name for it is "lncRNA (MGP_PahariEiJ_G0012225.1)". The record is from RNAcentral. Lineage: Eukaryota; Metazoa; Chordata; Mammalia; Rodentia; Muridae.